AUGAGUUACGAAGUUUCAUCGGUGCAGGAAGAAAUGAGAGCAGGGGUCCUUUUUCGAAAAUUGGGACCGGUGCUAUACUCUUCAGCAUCAUACUCGGUCAGCCUGCGAUUCAAUAUUUCACAAUUGAGAGCUCAAGACGGGCAGCUUGAAAGCGAGUUUGUCAAUUUACAAAAAUUCAUCACUAAUGCAGCAAAGUUAGUAACAAAUAAAACAUCCCUGUUGGCGGAGGUACGGGUCUUACAUAGCGAAUUGGCCGAGUAUGAGGCUGAAAUGGAAGCAGUACUGGACCUGAUCCCUGGGGAAAGGAGAACUCGAUCCAUCUGUGACGGAUUUGGCCGACUCAUCUCAAGUUUAACAGGCUUAAUGGAUGACGAGGACCGGACCACGAUGCAAGGGGGACUCCAGGACCUUCAAGGCAGGACCGACGAGCUGGAGGCGGAGAUAACUCCUAGUAAGGCAAUUAUCAGAGGGAUGCUGAACGAGACUUUACAAAAUGCGAAAAUUUUAAGUUCAUUGACCCGAGAUGUGGUAGGGAAUAGUAACGCGGUAGGGGAUCUGCGGAGUGCAAUUGAGUUGGAGGCGAAGUUGCGAGAAAUAAGCUUUUGGAUUUCAAAACUUCGAUUUGAAAGGUCACAGCUUCGUCUGGGGCUCGAGAGCGCUUUGAAAGGAGUCCUGAUAGCGGAGCUAUUUCCUCCACAGAAACUGUUACGGGUACUCCUUCGAAUCGAGGGCGAGUUGGCCGAGCGAUACAGACUUGUCACUAAGGUAACAUCUAGGGAGCUGAAAGUAUUCUAUGAUUUAGGGAAGGUAAGUAUUAAGUACAUCAGAAAUGAGCUUCUUGUCACGGUCGAGUUUCCACUGCGAAGAGUGGGCAUGGAUUUUGCGAUGUGGAAAGUAAUUUCUAUACCGGUUUUCCACCCAACAUUGCAGUCUUUUGUCCAGCUUGUCGUAGGGGACUACUUGAUCGUGACUACGGAUUUCAAAUGGUUUGCGGUUCUCGGUGAACAAGCAGUUCGCGACUGUAAGAAAGCUAGCAAUUUCACUGUUUGUCCCGCGCAGGUGCCGCUUUCUAGGGAAACUGUGAAAGCCUGUGAGUUUGAGUUGUUUUCUGGGAAGAAGUCUGUAAAGUGUGAAAAGAGAGUAUUGGCAGAGAGGCCUGAGGGAUACUUUCUCCGAUUGGGGAGGGAAUGGAUGUUUUCAGUCAUCAACUCAACAAGGAUAAGCAUAAAUUGUGGCCAGCGGCACGAGGUUCGAGAAAUUAGCGGCGCGGGAUUGCUACGUGGACUGCGGCACUGCGACAUAGGGACGACCGACCAAUUGGCACUGGGAGGAGUCGAGCUGGCGUCAGAAUUGGACGUGGAUUGGGAGGAUUCCGUGAUACCCAACAUCGACAGCGUCGCGGGGCUGACGGUAGAUGAGGAGCGAUCAGUGCAAGAUGAGAAGGAGAAGGGGGACCUGGUUGAGAAUGUGCGGCAGUUCGCGGAGCAAUCUAGCGACAAUGCUAAGCUGAGUGCAUUUCUCUCAAGUUUAACCGAGCAACGAAAGAAUCGGCCAUGGGUUCCGCCACAAAUUCAUUUGUAUGGUCUUUCAACAUUUGUCCUUUUUCUGGCUUUGUUGGGGGUGCUAGUGGGUUGGCGGCUGCUUCGGGCCUCAGUGGCUUCGAUUGCGAGCCCUAUUCAAGCGCGGCGAGCCAACGUCUGA
RNAcentral lists this long non-coding RNA (1701 nucleotides) under Bemisia tabaci. RNAcentral describes it as "lncRNA ENSSSA1NGG004950". Lineage: Eukaryota; Metazoa; Arthropoda; Insecta; Hemiptera; Aleyrodidae. The record is from RNAcentral.